RNAcentral lists this small RNA (156 nucleotides) under uncultured Mediterraneibacter sp. RNAcentral's name for it is "M-box riboswitch (ykoK leader)". It matches the Rfam family "M-box riboswitch aptamer (ykoK leader)". From Rfam's summary of the family: M-box riboswitch, also know as ykoK leader is described as a metaloregulatory RNA that sense divalent metals and function as a genetic control element of genes related to divalent metal transport in bacteria. It was first reported upstream of the B.subtilis ykoK gene and genes with related functions in other bacteria. Lineage: Bacteria; Bacillati; Bacillota; Clostridia; Lachnospirales; Lachnospiraceae. The record is from RNAcentral.
AUAUUUCGGUAGGUGAGGUUACCACAGGGAUUGGGAUAUUCCCGAAGACUGCUGCCGCAAGAUUGUGGAGACACAAUGCGCUGGUCAGCAGGAAGCGUCGUGAAGGCGCAUCCUAAUGCAGUUGAUAUGCCCUGUGAUACUAAAGCUUGGACGAUG